UACGAAGGGGGCUAGCGUUGUUCGGAAUUACUGGGCGUAAAGCGCACGUAGGCGGACUAUUAAGUCAGGGGUGAAAUCCCGGGGCUCAACCCCGGAACUGCCUUUGAUACUGGUAGGCUCGAGUCCGGAAGAGGUGAGUGGAAUUCCGAGUGUAGAGGUGAAAUUCGUAGAUAUUCGGAGGAACACCAGUGGCGAAAGCGGCUUCCUGGUCCAGCACCGACGUGCAGGCACGAAAGCGUGGGGAGCAAACAGG
RNAcentral lists this ribosomal RNA (253 nucleotides) under uncultured bacterium. Its description in RNAcentral is "partial 16S ribosomal RNA". It matches the Rfam family "Bacterial small subunit ribosomal RNA", at positions 524 to 776 of the family's 1533-position model. The record is from RNAcentral.